Camellia sinensis is the source of this 1497-nucleotide non-coding RNA. Lineage: Eukaryota; Viridiplantae; Streptophyta; Magnoliopsida; Ericales; Theaceae. The record is from RefSeq and is a predicted model, not a curated record.
GUACACUACAAGAAAUAAGGGUUUUCGCGACAUUUUUUUAACGGCGUUUUCUUAAACGUCAUUUUUAUUAACAUUUGUCGACGUUUUAAAAACGUCGUAUGUUUAGUGAAUUAAAACGACACCGUUUUAUGGUCAAAGGCGUUUGAAAACGCCUCCAAAUGCGGUACGUGACACGCGCCUAUUUUGAAUAUGAGAGUAAAGCCUUUGUAAACCCUCAGUCUCCAAACACAAACAUUGAAUACUCACGUCGCCUCUCUCUCUCAAUCCUCUCUAAACCCUUAUUUUGAAUCUCACAUUCAAAUCUCACAGAUUCAUUGAUUUCGAAGCUCCACCUCCACCACCAUCUGCACCAGCCAGGUAGCGAGAUUCACCGAUUCACCGAUUUCACAGAUUCACCGAUUCAAAUCUCGCAGAUUCACCGGUUUCAGAUCGAUCUGCACCGCCACCGCGAUUUCGAUUCAGAUCGGUCUGCACUGUCACCCGAUUUCGAUUCUCUCUCUAGAUCUCUCUCUCAGAUAUUCAUCUUUGAUUUCAUCUUAAAGCGAUUUCGAUUUCUCUCUCUCUCGAUUUCAAAGCUCCACCGCCACCACCAUCUAUGCAAGCUUCCAUGGCUUAGCACCUCAUCUCCUUAUCUCUUCCACUUUGUAUAUACAUAUACAUAUAUGUAUAUUUAUCGAUUCUCUCAUGUACAUACACGUAUUUGUAUAGACACCGAUCGAUAAUGGAGCAGAGCUUCUUCGAUUUGAUCUAUUUUCUACACUGCCCAGCUCCUGAAUGGGUAAAAAGUUAUUGAUGGAAUUUUAGGCAAAAUAUGUUCCUAAUAUGGUUGUAUUUAGGCUUUGUUUCACAGGAGGAAAAGAAGUUCAUAAAACAACAAUGUGCUGCAUGCAAAAUUUGGCAAAAGCUUUCUCAAGCUAUGAGUUGGAAGUACUGGUUAAGCGGGAAGGGCUGCUUCAAUAUGCUCAAGGUGCUAUUGCAGGGCUGAAACUAAAUUCUGAUAUUGCAAGGUUCCCUAAUAAAGCAUCAGCUUCUGAGUAAUCUUACACUUAGUAUAGCUGUACAUACUGUGUUGGAGGCAUUGCGUAAACCUCCAGACACAAAAGUAUUUGCUUAUGGAAUCUUGACUUUGGAGCAGUUUCUUGACCGCCUGGUGGAUCUGCCACUGCUUUGCAAUCAUAUUUUGCAAAUAUCUCAUUUACAUGGUACUCAUGUAGAGCUUAUUGCAUUUAUAGAGCAUACUCUGGCUAGAAUAUCAUCAAGCCACUUGAUAUCAAAUGGAGGCAGCAGUUCUUUUACUGAUCCCCACAGUGGUUCUAUUCCCACUACAGUGGAGAUGGUGGAGGUAUAAAAUUAGUUUCUUCUAUUGACCCAUGCAAUGUAUUUAGACCCCAUAAACACCAAUCAGUUUGAUAAAUUUAUUUCUUGUUGGAUUGACUUUAGUUGAACUAUUAUUGUGUUUGAUAUUUUUUGUUAGAAUGGAAUGUUAUUUUAAAGCCC